This is a long non-coding RNA of Xiphophorus hellerii (green swordtail), 174 nucleotides long. RefSeq lists it as uncharacterized. The transcript has 3 exons. NCBI's taxonomy places the organism in Eukaryota, Metazoa, Chordata, Actinopteri, Cyprinodontiformes, Poeciliidae. The record is from RefSeq and is a predicted model, not a curated record.
UAGUUUAUACAUCUUAGAUCAGUGGUUCUUAACCUUUUUUGAGGUACCAAAUCCAUCAGUUUCAUAUGUGCAGUCACCGAACCCUUCUUUAGUGAUAAAUAAAAUAAAUAUUUUUUUUCCAAAUUCAAGACAUAGGUAUAUGUUUUUUUGCUGGUGCACAAAAUGAGCCGUGCA